Non-coding RNA from Micropterus dolomieu (smallmouth bass), 1401 nucleotides. The record is from the annotation of a RefSeq genome assembly. NCBI's taxonomy places the organism in Eukaryota, Metazoa, Chordata, Actinopteri, Centrarchiformes, Centrarchidae.
UAUAGAUCCAUACAAAAACUUAAGAGCAAUAAUCUGACACUCUGCAUUUCUUGUGAUGGAAAAAGGACAGGACAAAGCAUUUCUCAUUGGAAUAUGAGGUUUUUGUACAAGCAGUGAGUGGAGAUGCAGCACUGUGAUUACUUCGACUACUGGGGUCAUGGGACUGAAGUCACAGUAUCUACAGGAACAACUACAUCACCAACUCUUUUCCCUUUGGUUCAGUGCCAACCUGGGUCUGGAGAUAAGAUCACUCUUGGUUGUCUUGCACAUGACUUUUCCCCAAAGAGUCUUACUUUCCAGUGGACCGAUGCCAGUGGGACCCCCCUGACUUCUGUAAAUUAUCAUCCAGCUGAGAAAAACAACAAAUAUACAGGAGUCAGUUCAGUCCAAAUAUCAAAAUCGGACUGGGAUUCAUAUAAGGCUUUUAAUUGCUCUGUGACCCACCCUGGAGGCCCCAGAAGUGUGAAAGUAGAAAAGGCCCCAUUUCCUCCUAAGGUAACUUUGCUAUCUGAGACCCUGGUGUGUUCAAUUGAAGGUUUUCUUCCAAAAGAAUUGUCAGUCAAAUGGAAAAAAGAUGCAAGCUAUGUAACUGGCUCCAGUAACUUGGCCACCCAAAAAAUUGGAGAUGUAUAUUCAGCCGUCAGUUUCCUGAAGGUCAAUAACACAGACUGGGACAGUAAAGCUGUUUACACAUGUGAGGUGACGCACCGAGAAACAACUUAUACAAAGAAGGCCUCAAAAGCUCCUGUCACAGUGACACUGAACCAACCCAGUGCCAAAGAAAUUUUCAGCAACAACAAAAUAAAGUUGGAGUGUAUCAUUACUGGACAGGAUGAGACCAUUGUAAAUACAAUUCAAAUCACUUGGCAAAUUGAUGGACAAGAUGUGACCAACGACAUUAAUGAAUCAACUGUCAAGUCUGUAGGCGUUCAGCACAGCAAAACCAGCACGAUGACUCGUAGUCUGUCUGAGUGGCAGAGAGUCAACAAAGUGCGCUGUUCUGCCAUUAAAGACGAUAUGACUCCAGUUAUUCAGGAUCUGACUGUCCACAAAGGAGAUGGGAGUGAGCCAAAUGUGACAGUCCAUGCCCUCCCAGAGGAGGACAUCAGCAAAGGAGCUGUGGUCUCUCUGGUGUGUCUGGUCUCUGGUCCUGUGCUGCAGGAUUACUACAUCGCCUGGUCAGAAGGUUCUGGAAAUAAGGCCUGCAACUAUAAGGAUGGCAUUAACUUCCCCCCACAGAAGACCCAACAAGGCUACUUAGUUACAAGUGUUUACACCACCACCAAGGAAAAGUGGGACAAGCACAACAUGUUCUACUGCAACGUCUGGCCUGCUGGUAGAAAUAAGGCCAUAUUAACCAAAGGAGUGUCUAAGGCCCAUGGUGAAUCACUUGAAUGUUGA